Molecule: long non-coding RNA, 1486 nt
Organism: Vigna unguiculata (cowpea)
Lineage: Eukaryota; Viridiplantae; Streptophyta; Magnoliopsida; Fabales; Fabaceae
Source: RefSeq, a predicted model, not a curated record
CAUCCCCGUUCAGGUCUUCACACAAGGGCAAUUGAUUUGUUCCAUUAGAAAGUGAACUUGUUGUGUUGAAUGUUAGAGAAAAAAGGGUGUUAAUUAUUACAGAAAAAACUGAAUGUUUGUUCUCUCCCUUCGACCCUCAUCCAAUCCAUUGUUGAUUCUUAUGCAGCAAUGAUAUCAGAUUUCAGUAAAUGAAUGCAGAUUAGGGUAAAAGGGAGGUGACAGAAGAGAGUGAGCACACAUGGUACUUUCUUGGAUGAUAAGGUUUCAUGCUUGAAGCUAUGUGUGCUUACUCUCUAUCUGUCACCCCAUCUUCAUCUCUUUCUUUCAAUCCUCUUGUUCUUCACUUUCUGUUAAUAUAUAUAUGUAUCUGAUUUUUGUUUUCACUUUCCCUUCAUAUAAGUAACCCUAAGGCUCGUGUUGUCAUAUCAUUCAGUAUAUUAUGCUUUAUGGGCAUCUCAUUCCAUGUCUCAGGUAUGUAUUGCUGGUUUCCACAUAUGGAUUUUUCUUGAUUAGCAUGCAGAUUUGAAGUGCAUCAGUUUCCUCAAGAAAAGUAAUUUUAUUUCUGUUUUCGCUUAUAGAGAGCCUACUUUCACAGAUACAAUAAGUAUCUGUAACUCUAAUUAGUUGAUGAAUUUUGAUCUUGUAUGCUCUCAGUUAGCCUCAGUUUAAGAGGUUAAUCACUGAAAACAGUUUUAUAUUUUCAUCUGAUGACAGUUUAGACACAAGAUUCUAUUUAAAACCCAUCUUAAUUUUCGUUUAUUUUACUCAUGAAUUUACCAGAUUAACUGCUAGGGUUUUGGGGAUACUCAGUUAAGAAGAAAAAUUGAUCAGCAAAGGUAUGGAUUUUGUGACGGAAAAAUGGGAUUCUUUGUAGUAAUGAACAUGGUUUUACAGAAGUAUAGAUUUAACUGAAAUUAAAUCUUGAUUUUGUUGGUUAGGUUUUAUCUGGUAUAUAUAUGUAUAUGUACUCAUCUCUCUUUUCUUUAUUUUAAAUUUUGGGAUUGAACUCAGAAGGAUUUUUGCAGUUGAAUUGAAAGUUAUGAACUACAAUCUUUCAAAAAGGUUGUAAAAGGUCUUGUUGAUGAAAUGGAGUGCAAACAAUUGAAAUCUUCCAGAAAACAGCUUGGUGGGAAAUUAAAACAACCAUAUGUAUGUUCUAUAUAUUUAGGGUUGAUAAAAAAAGGAAGAAAAAAGAGUUAUGGGGAAAAGGGAAUGCCUAAAUGAUAAGUGUGUCUGCAUAUUUAAUUUUUACCUGCACAAUCAUGUAAUUGUAAUUAAUACUCUGAUCAAAUAUACAUGCACCACUGCAUGCUAAAAUUGUACAAACUAUGCUAAUUGUGUAUAGGGUUAGCUUUUAUAUGUGUGUGUCUGUGUAUUAAGGGUACGUGAAAGAGCAAUAGUUUUAAUUAUUUUUUCUGCAUUGAUGUGUGUGUUUGUCUAGAUACAUUUCAUUUCUCUGACAAAAGUAAAUUAUUAUUAACAUAAU